RNAcentral lists this long non-coding RNA (826 nucleotides) under Androctonus crassicauda. Lineage: Eukaryota; Metazoa; Arthropoda; Arachnida; Scorpiones; Buthidae. The record is from RNAcentral.
GUUUUGUAUCCAGUUGAUGAUGUAAUAUUCGAUCGUACUCGCAUAGUAGACGACCAAUAGAAAACUAACAUGUAAUCACAUGAUUUGGACAAUGGUUGUGUUGUAGGAAGAUGUCGUCGGUGUUUAUGGAGCGCUAUUUAGGGACAGUCAUCGUCGCUAGACAUAACCCAAUGAGUUUCUCAAAUUCGGCAGAUUAGCUUAUUAAUGCUGUCAGAGAAAGGACAAAAGUGUAGGUGUAAAAUAGCAAAAAAAUGCUUGUGCUAUUUCAGUCACGUGGAGUGGCGCCAGAAGGAGUGUAAUGCAUUAUGUUACUUAGAUUCGUCGAUGUUAAGUCUUUGCACGUUUGGAGGUCCAAAAGGAGUAAACUAUUCGUUACUUUUUCGUUAUUUUUAUUCCUUUUUAUAUACGAUCCGAGGAAUUUAAUAUAUGGUUCUCUAUGGCGUCAAACGAAAGGUAAGUUAAUUCGAUUCAAUCAAUAAUUAUUUACAUUUAUUAGAAAGUAUAAGAGCAGUUUUUGUUGUUGUGUACUAUAUUUAAAAUUAUGACAUAGAAAAUAGCCGAUUUGCUCUAGUGCUUCUGGUUUAGUACGAUGUAGGUUAAUGUGUAGCGUAGAGGUAGAAGUUCGUGUAUGUGAAAGAUUUAACAAGACUGGAUAAGACUGAUAAGAUUCGUAACAUAUAACAAAUUAAUUAAAAUAUAUUUUAAAAUUUAAACUAUUACUCUUGUUAAGUAAUAAAAUUUCUUGACGAUAAAAAACAGAUCAAUCAAUGUAAAUGUACAUUUUAAAUCGCCAUCAAUUUUUAAAAAAUACUCUAUUGUAUUGUUA